UAGGGAAUCUUCGGCAAUGGGGGGAACCCUGACCGAGCAACGCCGCGUGAGUGAAGAAGGUUUUCGGUUCGUAAAGCUCUGUUGUUAAGGAAGAACGAGUGUGAGAAUGGAAAGUUCAUGCUGUGACGGUACUUAACCAGAAAGCCACGGCUAACUACGUGCCAGCAGCCGCGGUAAUACGUAGGUGGCAAGCGUUGUCCGGAUUUAUUGGGCGUAAAGCGAGCGCAGGCGGUCAAUUAAGUCUGAUGUGAAAGCCCCCGGCUCAACCGGGGAGGGUCAUUGGAAACUGGUUGACUUGAGUGCAGAAGAGGAGAGUGGAAUUCCAUGUGUAGCGGUGAAAUGCGUAGAUAUAUGGAGGAACACCAGUGGCGAAGGCGACUCUCUGGUCUGUAACUGACGCUGAUGUGCGAAAGCGUGGGAAUCAAACAGG
RNAcentral lists this ribosomal RNA (430 nucleotides) under Bacteroidota bacterium. RNAcentral's name for it is "Bacteroidetes bacterium partial 16S ribosomal RNA". It matches the Rfam family "Bacterial small subunit ribosomal RNA", at positions 355 to 776 of the family's 1533-position model. Lineage: Bacteria; Pseudomonadati; Bacteroidota. The record is from RNAcentral.